GAUGAAGAACGCAGCGAAAUGCGAUAAGUAAUGUGAAUUGCAGAAUUCAGUGAAUCAUCGAAUCUUUGAACGCACAUUGCGCCCCUUGGUAUUCCGAGGGGCAUGCCUGUUCGAGCGUCAUAUUAACCACUCCCGCUUGCGGGGUCUUGGGCUUCGCCUCCGGGCGGGCCUUAAAAUCAGUGGCGGUGCCGUCAGGCUCUACGCGUAGUAAAUUUUCUCGCGAUAGGGUCCCGGUGGAUGCUUGCCAACAACCCCCAACUUCUUAAGGUUGACCUCGGAUCAGGUAGGGAUACCCGCUGAACUUAAGCAUAUCAAUAAGCGGAGGA
This 326-nucleotide unclassified non-coding RNA is filed under the name soil metagenome. RNAcentral describes it as "partial contains 5.8S ribosomal RNA, internal transcribed spacer 2, and large subunit ribosomal RNA". The stretch from base 1 to 120 matches the Rfam family "5.8S ribosomal RNA", at positions 35 to 154 of the family's 154-position model. The record is from RNAcentral.